This 301-nucleotide ribosomal RNA is filed under the name uncultured bacterium. RNAcentral describes it as "partial 16S ribosomal RNA". It matches the Rfam family "Bacterial small subunit ribosomal RNA", at positions 509 to 807 of the family's 1533-position model. The record is from RNAcentral.
CAGUAGCCGCGGGAAUACGGAGGGGGCUAGCGUUGUUCGGAAUUACUGGGCGUAAAGCGCACGUAGGCGGCCUUGUAAGUUAGAGGUGAAAGCCCGGAGCUCAACUCCGGAAUUGCCUUUAAGACUGCAGAGCUAGCAGGUGAGAGAGGUGAGUGGAAUUCCGAGUGUAGAGGUGAAAUUCGUAGAUAUUCGGAAGAACACCAGUGGCGAAGGCGGCUCACUGGCUCAUACUGGACGCUGAGGUGCGAAAGCGUGGGGAGCAAACAGGAUUAGAUACCCCCGUAGUCCCUGUCUCUUAUAC